CCUACGGUGGUCUGCAGUGCGGAAUAUUGGUCAAUGGGCGCGAGCCUGAACCAUCCAAGCAGCGUGAAGGAUGAAUGCUCUACGGGUUGUAAACUUCUUUUAUAAAGGAAUUAAGUGAGGCACGUGCGCCUUUUUGCAUGUCCUUUAUGAAUCCGGAGCGGCUAACUACGCGUCAGCAGCCGCGGUAAUACGGCGGUUCCGAGCGUUAUCCGGAUUUAUUGGGUUUAACGGGAGCGUAGAUGUGUUGUUAAGUCAGAUGUGAAAGUUUGCGGCUCAACCGAAAAAUUGCAAUUGAUACUGGUAGUCUUGAGUACAGUAGAGGUAGGCGGAAUGCGUGGUGUAGCGGUGAAAUGCGUAGAUAUCACGAGGAACACCGAUUGCGAAGGCAGCUUACUAAGCUGCCACUGACAUUGAGGCUCGAAAGUGUGGGUAUCAAACAGGAUUAGAUACCCUAGUAGUC
RNAcentral lists this ribosomal RNA (460 nucleotides) under uncultured bacterium. RNAcentral describes it as "partial 16S ribosomal RNA". It matches the Rfam family "Bacterial small subunit ribosomal RNA", at positions 338 to 795 of the family's 1533-position model. The record is from RNAcentral.